RNAcentral lists this transfer RNA (71 nucleotides) under Labilithrix sp. RNAcentral describes it as "tRNA-Met". It matches the Rfam family "tRNA". Rfam says of the family: Transfer RNA (tRNA) molecules are approximately 80 nucleotides in length. Their secondary structure includes four short double-helical elements and three loops (D, anti-codon, and T loops). Further hydrogen bonds mediate the characteristic L-shaped molecular structure. tRNAs have two regions of fundamental functional importance: the anti-codon, which is responsible for specific mRNA codon recognition, and the 3' end, to which the tRNAs corresponding amino acid is attached (by aminoacyl-tRNA synthetases). tRNAs cope with the degeneracy of the genetic code in two manners: having more than one tRNA (with a specific anti-codon) for a particular amino acid; and 'wobble' base-pairing, i.e. permitting non-standard base-pairing at the 3rd anti-codon position. Lineage: Bacteria; Pseudomonadati; Myxococcota; Polyangiales; Labilitrichaceae. The record is from RNAcentral.
UGCAGCGUGGGGGAGCAGUACCCCGCGAGCCUCAUGAGCUCGAGACGCUGGUGCGACUCCAGUCGCUGCAC